CCUAAUCCCUUACUCCUCAUGUAUAUAUAUUCUCUUUUUUAACAUAACUAAAUUAUCUUACUAUGGUUGCAGCUGAGAUGAAAAGAGUUCACAAUAAUGAAGAUGAGGAUGACGAUGAUAAUGGUGGAAUUCGUUUUCAAUAUAAAUCCUCCUCAUAAAUUCUUCAGAAUUCAAUCAAUGAUUAACCAACUUUGUAAUUUUUUUUCUUCAUAUAAUUACUUUAUUUGAUGAUUUGUUCCUUUAUGUUUGGCAGUUGAAUCGUUAUCUCUUGCAGAGUUUUUAAUUUUUAUUUAUAUUCACACUUAUAAAGAAUUAUUCAAUUUUAAUUAGUUGUUGUAUUGAUUUAACAGAGGUUAACUCAAAUAACACUAUCACCA
This 377-nucleotide long non-coding RNA is filed under the name Capsicum annuum. RNAcentral's name for it is "long non-coding RNA (CANN_LNC011919)". The record is from RNAcentral. Lineage: Eukaryota; Viridiplantae; Streptophyta; Magnoliopsida; Solanales; Solanaceae.